Molecule: long non-coding RNA, 15003 nt
Filed under: Homo sapiens (human)
Lineage: Eukaryota; Metazoa; Chordata; Mammalia; Primates; Hominidae
Description: non-protein coding DLX6-AS1:40
Source: RNAcentral
ACUUCUCUUUCAAAGAUGGACUGGGGAAAGACAUUAAGUUCGGAGCAGCCCAAGGCUGCGGAUCUAGCCUUUCUCCCUCCGGUCUCCAGACCCACGCAGGUUAAGGCAGCCAAGCAGAGACAGCGGAGCCCCGGUGCGUGGUUCAGGCCUGGUCAACAGGUAGGAGGGCCAGACUGGGGGCCAGGCACAGAGGAGGGCAGGCCCGCCCGCACCGGCGUCCAGGGUCCCGGGUUCCGGGUCCCGGGACUGGAGGAGGUCGCCGGCAGCCCGCCCUUCCAGAGGCUUGAGAUUGGGUGGACGAGACCUGAAGAUCCUCUCGGUCUGGACCCCGACUUUCGAUCUGCUUAGAGACCUAAGCCGCGAGCCUUUGCCCACACGGAGAAACGUACUAUCUAAUAUCUAACAACCCUGUACUGCAGUGUCUGGAGGUUGCGGGAAGGAGACAGUGUCUCCCUUUGGGAAAACUACUGAGGACUUCUGUAUAUCCUACUUCUUCUGGACUCCAUAAGUUACAGGACCGAAGGAAACUGAGAAAUAGAGAAAAGGUGCCGCUUGCCCCUUUAACUCCAGAAAAGGGUGGCUGCAGAUGGAGCAGCUUGGACUUUAUUUUUUACGUUGCGCGAAGCCCGCCGGCAGCGGCUUAUGCCAAUUGAUUUUCCCAGCUCCCAGCCCUGGAUGUCUAGCUAUCUCCAGGACAGUUUGUUUUUUUCUUUUUCUGUCUUUCUUUCUUUCCUUCAAUGUAUCAGAAGACCUGAAGCUCGCUGCCCGCGAGUUUCCUCCGAGUUCCCAGGUCAGCGGCGUUUGCGCUCCUCUCCCCCUCCUUUUCCCAGCCCGUUGCGCUUAAGUUCUUGAGUCUGGGGAGCCGGUUCAGUAACUCUGAAUUCAUUUUUAAGUGGCGUGCCCUGUUCCCCACCUUUUAACAAGAGGUGCACUUUAACACGCGAACCAGUAACACGAUCUACACGUUUACAAAUCGGCAAUGAAUUAAAACAACAACAGAAAAGCUUCAUGGAAAAAGAAAGUUGCUGAGACAAAGGAAAACCCACUCCCUUGGAGGAGCAUGACCUUUUCCUGUAAUUCUUCCCACUGCUGUUGUUGAGCUCCUUGGAUCCUGGCUCCUGGACACCAUCAUCAAGAAGACUUUAUGGAUGGGCUGUCCACCCACUGAGAGAAGAGGAGCAUCAGCUACAGUUUCUCUCUAGAUUGCCUUCUUCAUUUUGAGUAAUGACUGUCAGCAGGGUCAGAUUAAACACAAAACAACUGGACAAUUGCUUGGAGGACUAAACUAUAAGGGCACUAACAUGUCAAUAGUAGGCUAACACAUCCAUGGAAAAUAUAUUUACCAGCUCUUCUCUCAGGGAGGAUUCUGUGUGGGGUUGGAAGUAAUGAUUUGUUAAAUUCCUUAGGGGUAGAAAGUAGGGCAUAAUCAGAAUAUAGAGGAAUAUGCUGUUUGACUUCAGGGUUUCUGUUUUUCUUACUAGGAUAUAUAAAACAGGGACUCUAGCUAGAUUGUUUAUGACCACAGAGGGUAGGCUGAGUGCUCCCAUGAUCUUCCUGCUUGGUUCUUGCCCAUACAGAGGUCAGCCUUUCCUCUAAUAAAGAUUGAACAAGUAGUGGUCUGAGGGAGACACCAAUUCAUUACCCUACAUGUCUCUUCUCUGCACUCCAGGGCUUUGAUAAUAAAGACACUGGCAGACUAUCUAUCUUCCAUUUCUAUAAUGUGAGCCCUUAGGGAGUCUUCGUUCACUUGGGGGUGAGGGUCAUUGCUCACAGAGUAGUUCAAGUCAAAUGGAACUUGAACUCUUUGCCUAUGGGCCUGGUGGUCAGACUCUGUGUUGAGUUCAUUAGAUUAUUGGAGACACAAGGUAGAGCUGGAUGCUUCAAAAAUAUUUGGCUAAAGGAUGACAUUGCUGGUUAUUUGUAGAUAAAGCCAUGAUGGAACCUGCUUGGAAUCAUGAAAUAUGGAACUGGUGGUCAUGUUUAAAAAUACAACUAAUAGUUAAGUACCUACUGGACACUGUAGAGACUUAGGGGCUAGACAGACAUGGUUCCUGCCCCCUUGGAGCUUACACUGUAGCUUCCCCUUAGGUAUGAAGAACAGUGGCUACAACUAACAAAUGGCCACAAAGAUAUAAUUGAGCCAGUGUUCCAAUUAUUAGGGUAAUUCCUAUUUCCUUAAUCAUUCCUAUUGACCAUGUUCUAUAAGCCUGCAUUCUAUAAAUGGCGUAUGACCAUGGGCUGUUUCCCCCCAGCAAGUUGUACAAAGUUCUGUGGUACCAGGGAAAGGGCUUAAGGUUAGCAGGGCCUCUGCGGAAGGACAUAUGAAGUGACUUGGGUUAGGAAACAGGAAGGGAUAGGAUUCAAGAACAGCUAUUGCUUCUGUUCUAUAUAGGAAACUGCAGCGUGAAAAAUGCUGGGCUGGGAAUUUUGAGACCUGGGUUUUAGUUUGUGUUCUAAUACUAACAAGCUAUGUGACUGUGGGUAAGUCAUUUCACAUUCCAUUUGGAUGCCUCUUGAGUGACUCCAGGCCUCUCCAGCUCUAAAACAUUAAGAUCAGGCCCUACGCUACAGCUGGCCAGUGUGUAAUUCUUCUGUUUCUAUGCUGUUAGGUCAAAUAGAUCUUCAAUAGUUACUUGAUUGUUAUUACUUUUUUCUGAAGUGGGUGUUUUAUCAAUGUUUUAGGAUACAGUGAGUCUGCUUCUCCCCUUUGGAGUUAGGAAGGUUGUAGGAAUAUACACUGUAGAGCAUAUGGGAGCUUUAUCCCCUCCUUUUUUCCCCGCUACCUUUCUCCCUCUCCUUCCCUUCAUCACAUUUCUAUUGAGCAUAUGCCAUUGCCGUGUACCAGGUGUGUGCUAGGUUUGGAGAUACAAGGUAAACCUGAGACUUUCCCAGUCUCCAGGAGACAAAACCCUAAUUUCUUUCAUCUGCUGUCUUUCUCUUUGGAAAGAAUCAACGAUAUCCCAGGGGAAUGUGCCCAUGUCCCAGGGUAACCAACUACAGACAGAUGCCCCAUUCUACUCAAGCAACUUUUAGAGUGCCUUGAGAUACACAUCAGAUAAUUAUGCAGGGCCAGGCAUGGUGCUGCACACUUGUAAUCACAGCACUUUGGGAGGCCGAGGCAGCAGAUUGCUUGAGCCCAGGAAUUCAAGUGUAGCCUAGGGAACAUGGCAAAACCCCAGCUCUACAAAAAAAUACACAAAUUAGCUGCGUGUGGUGGCCUAUGACAGGAGGCUGAGAUGGGAGGAUUGCUUGAGCCUGUGAGGUCGAGGCUGCAGUGAGCCGAGAUCAUGCCAUUACUCCAGCCUGGGUGACAUAGGGAGACCCUGUCUUGAAAAAAAAAAAAAAAAGAUAAUUAUUCAGCCCUAGAGUCAUUGUGAAAAGAUCUAUCUUCAGAUAUAAGGAAGAAACAAUCUUUUAUUUCUUAGGAUAAAUCUGUAGAAGGACCUCCAGACAGUGAAGGCCACUGACUACUUUAUACUCUGUAAGCCAUCCCUCCCUGGUAGGAAGGACUAUUUCCAAUCUUACAGAGUACCUCUCAGCAAAUAGACGUUUUCACAUAUACUGUGAUUCAUACAUCCCUAUGGCUGGUGACCUCUUUAAAAAGGAAAGGAAAAAGCCUAAUCAAACAAAAAGAUGCUGCUAGUAAUUCUUACCCUAUUGUGAAUCCUAUAUAAGCAAAUUUGUAUCUUUGUUUUUUCCUACAUUAGCAGAUCUAUUUGAUGUAUAUCUCUGAGUGCAGAAAAUAUUUUAUGGAAAAAUCAAUAUAUGGAAUUUCAAAUUCAGAAUUGCUGAUACACACUAUUUGGUUUCACAAUUUUAUCCUAGGAAAUAGUAUUAGAGAUUUCAAUUUCUGGCUUAAAUGGUAGAAUUAAUUACUCUUAACUCUUAAUUUUACUUCUGAGUUGAGGUCAAGGAACAGGCAGACACCUGCAGUUAACGUCUAUACCUCUCCAUGGCCAAGAGUUUUAAUUUUCUCGUCUUCAAUUUUGUAGAUGUUCAUCAUUACUAAAUGGAUUGAUUAGUAUUUUAUCUCCUCUCCUUGUCCUUACUUUCCCUCUGGUAAAUAUGUUAUAAACAGUGUAAGGCUCCUAAGAUAGAGUAGCUGGUAGGACUUAGAAGAGAAACAAAGGGCACUGAUAACUCACAUAAAUGGAAAAUUGGCUCUGGAAUAACUGACAACAUAUUCAAGUAUUUUAGUGCAGUGUCACUCUCAUUAAGAAGAAGAGAAUCAGUAAAUCUAUGUGACUCUAAACAUUCUAAUGAAAAAAGGAAUAUUCUGCCAAUUAUCUCACAUUUCUAAAUAUCUGGAUAUUGGCCAUUGUAAAGACAAAACAUACAGAUGAUGGACUUGUCUUUCCACCUCUCAUUUGCAUGGUUUGGAGCAUUGUACCUCCAGCCAUAGACUCUAAGGCAAUUUAUAUUUGCUUCCUCUUCCCUCUUGAGAGAAAACGAAAAUCUUAUUUUUCCAAGCAAUUAAAACUCUUCUGCUUCAGCUAGGAUGAAAGAAUUAGGAGUUCUGUCUCCUUGUAUCUAAUUGCAUGUUUCAUCUUUCUUGUUUUAAUGAUUGACAGAAAACUAAUAAACUGAGACAUCUUUGAAUCCAGGUUGAAUGUACUCUCUUGGUGGCCCCAUUGCUAAUUUGUUUGACUAUUUUGCAGGAUUUCUUACUCUGUAAUGGAAAGGUUUAUUAAAUAUGAGGGGUGCAAAGCUUUCUGAAUACUAAUGAACUUAUUUGCCAAAAUUUAAAUGUUCUUCUUGUCAGUGAAUGUCUGUCUCUCUUAACAGGAUCCAAAUUGAAUAAUGAAGAAAAUUAGACUCUAUUGUACCCUCAGGAGAAAUCGUGGUGAAUCGUAAUAGAAUACAGAGGGGGAAAGGGGUCACAUUUUAGAAAAAAAGAGUAGAUAAUUUGGAUUAUUAAAAAAGGGAUUAACUCAGGAAAACUCUGUUCUUUUCAAAGAAACGUACUCAUAGUCAUUCAAUGAGCAGGAUUUCCCACUGCACAAGCAUCUAUACCUUUGGCCAGUGUAGAAAGAGAGUAAGGUCAUAAUCAUAUGGAGAUGCAUGCUAGGUUUCAGUAGUUACAAUUUACUAAUCUCAUUCCCAUAUAAGGCCUUUAUAUGCCUGUAAUGGAAUGGGAAAAUCAAUAAGCUUUGAAAAGGAACACUAUUCUUCAGAGAAGUUCAAUGGGAGAUAGUUGAGUUGGGGAAAUUGCCCCAGUUCUUCCUUUAAGCAUGAAAUGAGGCUGUCCCUAUGUAUGUUUACUUCCAUUGCCUUGGUGUUAUCACUGAUAAAGUCAAUGAUCAUGAUGCCUUUGCCUUGGCAGCACCUGGGGGGCACUGAAGGAACCAAGUAGCUGUACUCAUGGCCAGGAAGGCAGGCUGCCAGAACUUCAGCAGCCACACAAGUGGCCAAACAUGGUCAGGAACGAAAGUAGUGUGUGUAUGGAGUGAAAUGAAAUGAUGAGAGGAAAGUGAAGGAUGAUAUAAAGAUGGGGCUGUCCAAAGAUGGGAGUUCAUCCCUGUCCUGCACUUGAAAUAGGAAGGAAAGAACUGGAGAAGGAUUAGGUGAGGAAGGAUCCUGAAAUAGAGAAAAUAAAGGGAAGACUGCAUGCCUGCAGUGUUUGCUAAAAUUAAUUCGCCUGAGAUUUCAGGAGGAGCAAAGAAAGAUCAAGAGAAAGGGAAAACAGCCUCAAAGCCUGUGAAGGUUGAAAAACAAAAUAUAAACAAAAAAUUUUUAAAGCUAAGAUUAUGCUCUUCUAAGAAAAGAGGCUGGACACUAACAGAAAGCUUGAUGACAGCAGGAUUUGUAUUUAGCGGUUUAUUUAGAUCCCUAAGAAAAAAGGCUUAUGUGACAUAGAUUCAUAAGACACAAAUGUGUCCUUGGCUGACCAUACUAGGCUUCACUCCCAAAGGAGAAAAAGAAUGGUCGGCGCAUCUCAGAUUAACACCAACCAACUGUGCAAUAUUUCAUUUUAGAAAGCGUUUCCUUGUAUUAUCCAUGAUUAAAUAAAAAGAGACCUAGUGUAUUUGAUUGCUUCUGUGGCAAGGCUUGAGAAUUACAAACCUAGGUUUCCCUCUGGGAAUGAUCAUUGGAUUUUUAAAAUUAAGUAAGUGGAAGGAGAUUAAGAUUUAUUUCCAUCAUUUCAAAUCAUGAUCUGCACCUUUGGAAACAAAAAGGAAGUUGGAAAGUGGGAAGGUGAGGUAGGUGUGCAAGAAUGGGGAGAAAGAUGCUGCAAGCCAAAUAAGACUGUAUAAUUUCUGAGAAAAUUAAAUGAACAAUAGAGUUUGAAGGAUAAGUGGGUAAUGAGGAAUAUGAGAUAAUAAGAUAUUAAAAAAUAGCAAAUUACUUGGGAAAGUGAGGAUGAAUGAUGGUAGAUAGUUAAGGGAUUUGGGAUGGCAAGGAAGGGAAGAGAUGACUAGGGUGGGAAACAAAACAUGAUUAAUGGCUGUAAAAGGGCAAGUUUGGACUCUCGAUGGCAUAUCUUCCCAAACUUUGGAGAAUGUGCAGAACUUAGUAAUAAAGAAGGAAAAGAUUAAAAGAGUUCAUGGUUAACAUGAAAUUGUGAGGACAACAGAGGAAGCAAUAAAUGUCAUUAGUCCUCAGGAAUGAAAGCAUUUCUAGAGAAACGUACUAGUCUAUGUUCUUCAUUUAUGAGCAGAAUAGUUUUCAUCUACUUUUUAAUAAAAGGUUAAUGUAUAAAAUGAAUGCUAUUAAAGGAAAGAAAAGCUAAGCAUUAUCAGGAAAGUUGAAGAAAAGAUUGCACCUAGAACAACUGAAGUAAACCAGCAAACCUAUUUUACAGCCUUUUCUAUAAAAUUUUGAAAUUCAUCAUCUUAAUGAAAGAACUGGAAAUAGUUUUUCCAAAUAGAAAUGGGUAAUGAUAAGGGAGGAAGUUUUAACAGUUAGAAAUAUUAUAGAAUGCAUUCUUUUACAUUUUUUCCCCAUAAAAAUGAGAGGAAGCUAAAAAACUUAUGGGUAUAGCUUUAAAUACUUUGGAUAAGAAGAUUUAUAGCAAUGUAAGGUUAUUGUUAGUAGUAGAAAUAACAUUAAUUUUUUAAAAAUAUUAGUAUUUGGAGCAGGACUAAAUACCAGUGAUCAUCCUUUUUGGUUUCUUGUGUUUGUGUAGGAGAUUCCUUUCAGACAGACAGUACCAGACCUCCUUAGGAGGGAAGCUGAUAAAGUAAUUUAGGUGGAAAGGUUUAAUGAGAUAAUGAUGCUAAGGCCAGUUAACAUCUAAUAAGAACAUAAUCAUGAGGGAUGAUAUUGUUGCUUAUUAAUUAUAAUGAUGCAGAGGAAAGAGACAAGGUGGCACUCAUUUAGCAGAGAGUACUCAGGAGUAAGACCGUUAUCCCAAAGGGGAAGUGUUGCAGUCAGAGUUAGAAGUAGGUCAACAUUUAGCAGAGUUUGAAAUUUAUGGCCGUUGGGUUAUACUAGCAACCACAGAACUGAAGGCCAGGCAGGAGGUAACAGAUGCCUUUCUGAUGGUGGCCAGGGAUGGAGUGGAGACUGCUGUGGUUGCUGGGCCAUGCACGGAGGCAGACUCCAGGGUGAGUUUUGGGAGCUGUCUGCUUGCCUUAGAUUCCACAGUGGUCAUUCGUGGGCAGACAGGCAGGUGUCCAGAACUGGACUGGAUGUGCUUCCAGUUCUGUGACCUUCCCCUCCACUCCACUGGGUCGGGUGAGUCAGACCCAAGGAUAGCUAUUCAGUCAGUGUUGGCGCCCAGCUUUGUUGAGGGAGCCCAGAAGAUCCUUUGGUCCUGUUUUUAGAGGCGCAGACCUAACUGUUAUCAGUUGAAUUGCAUUUAUGAUUCCUUGGUAUUAGUCACUAACCACAUUCCGCUUCCUGAAUUCAUUGCGGGUCUGGUCACCUCCAUGUUUGCCUAGGAUGGCAGAAUUGUAGUAUAAAUUUAUUGCAGAUACACUAAUGUCCAUAUUAGUCAGGUGGGCAGGAAUAAAGAAUUCGAGGAAGAAACAGCCAUGUGAAAAAAACAUGGAGCUUUUGGAAAUCUUGUGACUCCUCAAGGGAGGCAUAGAAGCUUGAAACAGAGGACUAGCCUGGGGAAGUUAAUUUGGGGCUGGGUAAGGAAUAUAAAAACUCUACCCCUUAUUCAGCACCUUUUCCCAAUAUGGGUCUCUCUCUGAGUCCUGGAUCCUAGGCUAUUGCUGACUCCUUUCUUGGGUCUUUGGAUGCCACCUCUGCAAUGAUAGGGAGGGGUUUUCUAUACCUUCUUGUAUAGUUAAUUUUAUUAGCUGGAUGAGGAUCACUUCACAGGAUUUUUCUUGUCCUAUAUAAUGACCCCUGAAAUAGAAAGGAAAUAAUAUUCACAUCAUUAGCUUUUUAAAGCAAGUAUAUUUUAUCUUAUUAAAUGUGUGGUUUUAGAGAGGCAAGAAGUGACAAGAAGAUGCUAGACUAGAAGAUGGAAGAUUCAGCUCUAGUCCUGACUCAUGCCUAUCAGCUCUAUCACCUUGGACAAGUCUCAUGCCUUUCAGAGCCUCAGUUUCUACAUUCAUAAAAUGAGGCAUUAUUGAGGGUAAACUUUAUGAUUAAAGAGCCAUGUCCAGCUUUAAAAUUAUGUAUUUAUGCAUAUAUGUUUUUACAGAUCCUACAUCUAUUAAACUGUUAUGGGAGAAUUAAUUGAUAAACCCAUAUGAGAGCAGAUAUUUCCUUAAAUCUGUAGUUCAAAGUGGACAGUUAAGGUCAGAGUUACCAAGGAACCAAUGCCGUAACUAUUGAGUACUAACUAUGUGGCAGGUGCUUCACAGAUGAGGAAAUGAAGAUUUUCCAAAGUUUAAAUAAAUAGUUCAAGAUCAUAUAGUCAAUAAGGAGUAAAGCCAAUGCUCAAACCCAGGCAUCCCUGAAACUGAAACUCAUGACCUUCAUCACCACUGUGUGCAUCUCCCCCUUUUUUAGAACCCAAAUGCUUAUGUCCUAUCACUUAUGGCACCAGCCACCGGAAGUUUUCUUCAGUCAUUAUGGUUCUCAACUGGGAUGCGGGGAGGGAGCAAGACAAGGAGUAGUUUGAAAACUCUUCCCAGUUGAUUCUGAUACACACAUGUCUCUGCCUCUAAAUUCAGCUGCUCUCUUUAAGACAUAACUUGGCCAGAGUCAUUCUAACAUUAUUACCCGAGAGGAUCUUACUUGAGAAUUUUCUGCUAUGUGCAGGUUCAUGUUUCUGUUUUUUCCUGCAUGUCUUCAGAGCAGGUAGAGACAUUGAACACAAUUAUUCCUCUUCCAAAUGGGGAAGUGAAGCAAAGAGAAUUGAAUGAUUCAAUUUUACUCACCUACCCAGUGGUCACAGAACUGACAUCUUCCAUGCCUAAGACUAGCCGCCACAAGACAUUGUCUUUCUAGCCAAUUCAGUUAAUAAUGUAUUUUAUAUAGAAGGAAAAUUUCACUAUUGUUUUUUGUUUUGGAGUUUUCCCAGUAAAUGGAUCAUUUUAGUGACAUUAGUUUUUUUUUUUUUUUUUCCUUUGAGAUAGUCUUAGUUUGUCACCCAGGCUGGAGUGCAGUGGUGUGAUCUCCAUUCACUGCAAACUUCGCCUCCCUGGUUCAAGUGAUUCUGUUGCCUCAGCUUCCCAAAUAGCUGGGAUUACAGCUUCCUGCCACCACUCCUGGCUAAUUUUUGUAUUUUUAGUAGAGAUGGAGUUUCACCAUGUUGGCCAGACUCAAACUCCUGACCUCAAGUGAUUCGCCUACCUCGGCCUCCCAAAGUGCUGGGAUUACAGGUGUGAGCCAUCGUGCCUGGCCUCAUUUGGUCUUAAUUCACAAUUCUUUACAGUCUCAAAUGAUUUCUUUUGGUCUUUUUUUUUAAUUUUGUUUUUUUUCUUUCUUCUUGUUGAAUAAGUUCUUCAUUAUUGCUCAGUAUGGUUGCAUUGAGCUCAUUGUGAAAAAUUAGAAACAUUCAGAUACAGGAUUUAAUUAAAUAAAGACAAUAGAGUGCAGUAUUAUAUUGCCAUUUAAAAGAAUGAGGCAGCUUCAUCUAUGGAGUGGUAUCCACGAUACACAGUUAAAAUUUAAAAAGCAAAGCACAGAACAAUGUGUAUGGUGUGCUACCAUUUGUAUAAAUACAUACAUAUAUGUUUCUAUGCAUUGCCUAACUGAGGAAGGACAUUUAAGGAACUGGUAAUAGUGGUUGUCUCUGGGGAGAAACUGACUGACUCAGAAAUUGGAAGACUAUCUCUGUUGUCCCUUUUAUAUAGUGUAUCAUGUUCAUGUAUUGCCUAUUCAUUUUUUUAAUAAAGAAGAAAGUAGAGCUAUCUUUACUGAGAUGGAAAAAUACAAAAGACAUAUUUUAGGUAUAAAAAGCAAGGUGCGGAAUAGUGUAAAUAGUAUAUGAUAUUUUUGUAAUGUAAUUAUACAUACAUACAUAUAUGCAUGGAUAUACACACACAUAUACACAUCUAUAAGGAGAUGCACCAAAUUGUUAACAGUGGUUCCCCCUAGGGAAAAAGAAAGUGUGUGUGUGUGCACGUGUGUGUGUGUGCACGUGCGUGUGCGCACACAUACUUUCCGUUUUUUAUCCUAUGUAGUUCUAUAUUGUCUGAUUUUGUUUUACACAAGGCACAUAGCAAUUUAUAAUAAAUAACUCAUACAUCUCAAACCCAAAUAAUUGCACUUGAUUUCUGUACACCUAUCAAGAAAAUUCUCCAGCAUUUCUGUCUAGCUUUAUUUUGCUGUUUGCUAUAUCUCAUGGAUUCAUUUCAGAUCUCUUCUUUGACCUUUUCUCUGAAGCUUUGUGAAGUUUCUAUUCCUUUAUCUUUACUCUCAUGCAUUCACCUUUAUCAAUAGGGCCCAGCUAAGGUCAUGACCAUGGAAAUCAUGGUAAUACUACUGGUAGUUCCUCUCUCAGCCACUUCCCUUUUUAAUUAAUCAAGAAUAAUGCAACUAAAAUCUUCCUGAUUCCUACUUUACACACUUCAACUUGGUUAAAUAAAACUCCUGACCUAUUUCAGGAAGAUUUAUUUGCUUUCUGGAUGAUUCCUAUCUACAAAUAAGUUGUAUUUCCAGUCUCAAAGAACAAAAUCCAAGAGAACUUCCUCAACUCCACAUCCCCUUCACAUACCACACCAUUUCUCUGUUUUCCUUUACAGCAAUUCCCCUUGACAACGUUGACUUUACUUUUGUAAAGAUACUUUCUCCCCUCCCAUUCAUCCUUAAACCUAUUCCUCUCAGGCUUUCAGCCCUAACCGCUGUCUCUGAACUCUUGUGUUGAGGUCAUUUAUGGUACUUACUUGCUAAAUCCAGUGGCCAGUUUUCAGUCUCCAUCUUUACCUCCCAACUUGUUGGUCACAGCCAAUCACUUUCUCCUUGCAAUACUUUUUUUUGGUCUUCUGGACACUUCUCUUUCUUGGAUCUUCUUCUGCCUCACAGACUACUCCUGAGUUUCUUCUUUAUCCUCUUUCACCUUGAAAAGUGGGGACUGCUCAGUUCUCGAGCCACCUGCCUUCUUUAUUCAAACCCAUUCUCUCAGUGAGCUCAUCUAGCCUUUGGCUUUGAAUACCAUCUCCAUGCUGAUGUCUUCCAAGUUUUUUUAUGUGCAAACUCCAGCUUGUACCUAAACUAUGGACUUGGUGUCUCCUUCUUCUGUUCUUUUUUUUUUUUUUUUUUUCUGAGACAGAGUUUCGCUCUUUGUUGCCCAGGCUAGAGUGCAGUGGCAUGAUCUUGGCUCACUGCAACUUCUGCCUCCCGGGUUCAAGCAAUUCUCCUGUCUCAGCCUCCUGAGUAGCUGGGAUUACAGGCAUCUGCCUCCACGCCUGGCUAAUUUUUGUAAUUUUAGUAGAGAUGGGGUUUCACCAUGUUAGCCAGGCUGGUCUUGAACCUCAGGUGAUCUACCCCCCUCGGCCUCCAAAAGUGGACUUGGUGUCUUCUUGACACCACUAUUUAGCUUUCUAACAGGCAUCUAAACUUAACAUGUCCAAAACAAGUGGACCCACCUGCCUGCACUAACCUUUCAUAUUUGCUAAAUGACAACUUAAUUGAAGCUCUACUUUGUUCUAACUGCUUUCACUACCUCCACCACUAAAGCCCUGGUCUAAGCCUGAUUAUCACUCACCUAGAUUAGUGCAAUAGCCUCUUAUCAGCUCCCUUGCUUCCAUCUUUUCCCCCUAAAAUCUGUUCACUGAUGGCAGCCAAAGUGGUUCUUUAAAAAAUACAAAUCAGUUUAUGCCAUUGUUUUACUCAAAACCCUCCAAUGGCUCCCAUCUUACUCAGAGUGACAUCCAAAGUCUUCACCAUAGCCUUCAAGGCCUACAUGCUUCCUGUAUUCACUCUACGUCUCUCUGGUCAGCCCCCAUUCUCUCCUCCUUGCUGUUUUCAUGCCACCUUGAUUUCCUUGCUGUUUUUUGAACAUACCAGGCAUGCUCCUACCUCAGGGCCUUUAUACUUGCCAUAGGUGUGGAAUACUCUUUUCUCAAGUAUUCAUGUGGCUCAGUUCUCUCCCUUCAUUCAGCCCAAAUGUUACCUUAUCAGAAACCUUCCAUGAAUAUCCUAUCUAGAACAGCACUCACCCAUUUCACGGUACCCCUUUACCCUGCUUUAUUUUUACCAUCAUCUGACACAUUAUAUAUCUACCUAUUAGUUGUCUAUUAUAAAUAUGAACUGGAAUAUAAGACCUAUAAGAACAGAAAUUUUUUGUUUACUACAUCUUUAACAUUUAGAAGAAUGACGGUUACAAAGAAAGUGCUCAAAAAAAUGUUCCCUGAAUAUUGAAUAAAGAAUGGUGAGAAGUUCACUAAAGCUUCCUUUAGCCUAUUCAAAUUAUAUGGAAUUGCUCUUAAGACAGUUUAUUUCUCCAUCUCAAUUUUCUCAUGUCUUUUAAAAAAAUUUGUUCUAACUUUUUAUUUUGAAAUAAUAGUAGACUUACAAGUAUUUGCAAAAAGAGUAUAUAGAAGUUUCUUCUACUCUUCACCCAGCUUCCCCUAAAUGUAACAUCUUCCCUAUCCUUUCUUUUUAUUAUUUCCUGUUUCCUUUACUUCAGUUUCUUAUUUCUUCUGUAAGUCUUUCUACACAGGCUUUCAGGAACUCCUCCAUCUCUUAUUUCAUGGCCAAAUCAUUGGUGAACUUUAUUCAACACCAACAUCAAAUUUCUUCUCCAAGAUGAUGGUCCUAUCAAGGAAGGGAUAGAUACUUCAAUUAAAUAUGCUUAAUCCUAUUUUUCAUAAUAACAAAUAAAUCAAAAGAAAAGAAAGGCUGUUUCAUCUUUUAAGCUUGUUCUACCGAGAGAUACUAUCUCUUCUGUAAGUUCUGUAUAGCAGUUUGUUUGCUGUGAUUUCUACAGACAGGCAAUUUGUUGACUCUAAUGUGUAUUUUCUCUCUUAUAUUCAACUGUUUAGGAAAAGUUGAAUAAAAACAAAUAUAUGAUUUCUUUUAAAAAAAUUAUUUAUUCUGCUGAGUCUCUGUCAACACACAUUUAUUGUGUACCUACUGUGUGCCAAGCUCCAUCCUAACGAUGGUCUCUUAUUCCCCCAAGAUAAUCUGUGAUGAACAUCACCUUUAAUACAUUGUAAGUUCUGAAAGAUUGAUUGAAAACUCCUUUCUUCCAGGUAAGUAGGUUAUUCUCUAAGGAAAGGGCAUUCAUGUUCAGGUCAUAAGGGCAUGAUUAUGCUAAUAACUGAUCUCCAGGGUUAAAAAAAGAACCCAUGUCCCUUCCAAUAUGCCUGAGAUAUAAGAUAAUCUACCAUUUGACAAGAUAAAGCUCAUCAAUUUCAUCAUCAGUAAAAAGAGGGCAUAACUGGGAUGUCACUAACUGCUACUGUUAAAAUGAGCAUGUAUUAAAAUCCUUAUGGAUGUCCCCUUCAUAUUCAACAUUAAUUAGAAACCUGCCCUAUCUCAGUGUUCUUCUAUAAUCAAUCCCCCUUUCCAGUAUUACUAAGGUAACUGUAAGCCCUGCAUGCCUGAACUGUCCUGGUUUACACCUGUUUUUCCAGCAUAAUUGUUAAUUGCAACCCUGUUCACUGUCUGAUGAAUCUUGGUUUGGACGAUAAAUUAUAUGGUCAACCUAAGUAUUAGAGUCCCUGGGAUAAACAAUCAAGGUGUCAUUCUUAUUUAUUGGUAUUGGUUUGUCACAAGCUGUGAAAACAGUUUUUCUUUUGCUUGUUUCUUCCUGAGUUGUCACGAAGACCUUCACAUAAAAUCACUCUCUCCCAUUAAAGUAAUUAUUGAAGCCCCCUUCAGUAAUGACCAGUUGUUUUAGUUUUCCUCCUCAGAUUCCAAAGACCAAAUGUAGAGAUUAUUUUUACUGGGUCAGGAUCAAAAUUGUUCAGAGGCACUAGCCUUGUAUAGGGAGAAUUUCAUCUAUCUAAUCCACAAGAAUCUUGAAGAGACAUUUUUUCCUUGGUAACAUUAUCUCGAAGAAAGAGUCUGUGAUUGACUACUAAUUUUAGCCCAGAGGAUAGAAAACUCAAAUGUACUCAAUUUCAAUGUAACAUAUGUAUUUGUGGCCUAAGAUACUUAAUGUCUCUAAAGUUGCUACAAGGGAAUGAGUAAUUGAAAGGUGAGUUUGGGUGGCCUUCUUAGACAUAAUCUCUGUUAAAACUAUUUAAUCUGUAUGGUUCACAAGAAAGGUUUUCUUGAGUUGAUGAGUAGAAUGAUAUUUCUGAUAAGAUAUUUCUACAACUAUAUUCUUGGCUGAUGGUAGUAGCAGCACCACCAUUUUUUCAUUAUUUAAUUUUGGAAAAUUGACCACUAUUUUUUUCAUCUAAGGCUGUGUCCUUAUUGUACUGAAGCACCCAAUCAACUCGAUGUAAAAAAAGAAAGUCUUUUAAAUAAUGUGGAAUUAUGAAGACAAAACAACUAGUGAGGAAACUAAAUUGUUUUUAUCUAAUUAUUUUGUAACUCAUCUGUGAACUAUAGAUAAUUCUGCUGGUUUUUGCAUUCCUGAAACAGUUGCUGUGAGAAUAAAUAAUAUACUUAGUAAAACAUUAUGAAUGUUUGAGAUAAUAGAUGCAUAAUGACUUCAUCCUUGUUUGUAGCUUGCUUGAAAAAUUAAAUUGAAUGAAACAGAGU